RNAcentral lists this long non-coding RNA (1596 nucleotides) under Homo sapiens (human). Its description in RNAcentral is "HSALNT0166456". The record is from RNAcentral. Lineage: Eukaryota; Metazoa; Chordata; Mammalia; Primates; Hominidae.
UGGUGCUUCAAAAAUAGACGUGAGAUUUUAAAAAUAGUUUCUUCCAGCUACGGGAAUGUAGGCUCCAGUUAAGCAGACUGACAUCUGGCGAAUUAAGUUGCCAUGGUAACAGGUUUUCAGGUCAAGCCUGGAGACUGGGUCAGCCCUCCCCUCUGUCAUGGGAACAGUCUUCCAGGGGGGUCAGUGAAAAGAACAUCUUUGACAACACACACUUUCAGUCAAGCCACCAGUGCCCUAAGGUCUCUACCUUUUGUCAUCUUCAUAUAAAAGCUCUAAGAAAGAAUUCCUUAAAAAAGAAGCCCUCAGGUGUUCACUUCCUGUGAUAUGUGAUCAUAGCUAGCUUCUACAAAUGGCAGGGGCAAAUUUUCCUAAAAAUCUUAACUUUUGUAUUCCAGCAUAAAUACUUCUAAUUUCUCCUCUGCAGGAGCCACUAUGUGGAGAAGAACCUUUAAAAUCAAUAGCAGAAGUUGCUGGCAGUGGUUAUCUCAGGAGGAUGGGACGCAGAGAUUUUCACUUUCCGUGUCAUGUAUCUCUGUGACAUUUACAUUUUAUUAAGCAGAUAUUUCUUUUUUGCUCGAGGAAAGAAAAACAAGCUCAAAUUUUAAGAAUUUGAAAAUAUAUAAAUCAGAAGAAGCAGACAUUACUUUUACAUAGAAUGGUAAAGUUUUAGGGUUUCUUUAAAAGUCAGUUGAAGGGAGGCCGGGUGCAGUGGCUCAUGACUGUAAUCCCAGCACUUUGGGAGGCCAAGGCAGGUGGAUCACUUGAGGUCAGGAGUUCAAGACCAGCCUGGGCAACAUGGCAAAACCCUGUCUCUACUAAAAAUUAAAAAAUUAGCCAGGCAUGGUGGCACAUGCCUGUAAUACCAGCUACUCAGGUGGCUGAGCACAAGAAUUGUUUGAACCGGGGAGGUGGAGGUUGCAAUGAGCCAAGAUUACUCCACUGCGUUCCAGCCUGGGCGACAGACUGAGAUUCCACUUCAAAAAAAAGAAAGAAAGAAAGAAAGUUAAUUGAAGGGAAAAAAAGCAAAUUCUGGGCCAGAUGUCCUGCUUAUGUCAUUAAGGCUCCCAAGAAAAAUAAAUUGAUUGGAAAAUGAAGGGGUUGGAAGUUAUGGGCCAAGUACAGUAUCUUUAUGAGUGCUUCUUAUUAAUUAUAUGAAAUCUGGGACUUGCGACACUUGAGUCAUUUUUUUUUAAAGCACAUGCACUAGAGAAAGAGAAUUCUGGUCUUGCAUCAGAAAAUAUUAAGAUGUACUUAUUUUUUUAAUUUUUUUUUUUUUGAGAUGGAGUCUUGCUCUGUUGCCCAGGCUGGAGUGCAGUGGCGCGAUCUUGGCUCACUGCAACCUCGGCCUCCUGGAUUCGAGCGAUUCUUCUGCCUCAGCCUCCCAAGUAGAUGGGACUACAGGCACGUGCCACCAUGCCUGGCUAAUUUUUUGUAUUUUUAGUAGAGAUGGGGUUUCACCAUGUUAGCCAGGAUGGUCUGGAUCUCCUGACCUCAAGAUCCGCCCGCCUCAGCCUCCCAAAGUGCUGGGAUUACAGGCGUGAGCCACCGCGCCCAGCAAGAUGUACUUAUUGAGAGAGGCUGUGACCAGAAAACAUC